CCCUUAGAUGUUCUGGGCCGCACGCGCGCUACACUGAUCAGUGCAACAAGCAUCCGUCCUCGGCCGACAGGCCCGGGCAAUCUUUGAACGCUGAUCGUGAUGGGGAUAGACUUUUGCAAUUUUUGGUCUUCAACGAGGAAUUCCUAGUAAACGCAAGUCAUCAACUUGCAUUGAUUACGUCCCUGCCCUUUGUACACACCGCCCGUCGCACCUACCGAUUGAAUGGUCCGGUGAAGCCUCCGGAUUGGCGUGCACCCUCGGGUGCUGCCGAGAAGUUGGCUAAACCUUACCAUUUAGAGGAAGGUGAAGUCGUAACA
This 317-nucleotide ribosomal RNA is filed under the name uncultured eukaryote. Its description in RNAcentral is "partial 18S ribosomal RNA". It matches the Rfam family "Eukaryotic small subunit ribosomal RNA", at positions 1470 to 1796 of the family's 1831-position model. The record is from RNAcentral.